RNAcentral lists this ribosomal RNA (942 nucleotides) under Escherichia coli. RNAcentral describes it as "partial 23S ribosomal RNA". It matches the Rfam family "Bacterial large subunit ribosomal RNA", at positions 209 to 1191 of the family's 2925-position model. Lineage: Bacteria; Pseudomonadati; Pseudomonadota; Gammaproteobacteria; Enterobacterales; Enterobacteriaceae. The record is from RNAcentral.
CCCCGAGGAAAAGAAAUCAACCGAGAUUCCCCCAGUAGCGGCGAGCGAACGGGGAGGAGCCCAGAGCCUGAAUCAGUGUGUGUGUUAGUGGAAGCGUCUGGAAAGGCGCGCGAUACAGGGUGACAGCCCCGUACACAAAAAUGCACAUGCUGUGAGCUCGAUGAGUAGGGCGGGACACGUGGUAUCCUGUCUGAAUAUGGGGGGACCAUCCUCCAAGGCUAAAUACUCCUGACUGACCGAUAGUGAACCAGUACCGUGAGGGAAAGGCGAAAAGAACCCCGGCGAGGGGAGUGAAAAAGAACCUGAAACCGUGUACGUACAAGCAGUGGGAGCACGCUUAGGCGUGUGACUGCGUACCUUUUGUAUAAUGGGUCAGCGACUUAUAUUCUGUAGCAAGGUUAACCGAAUAGGGGAGCCGAAGGGAAACCGAGUCUUAACUGGGCGUUAAGUUGCAGGGUAUAGACCCGAAACCCGGUGAUCUAGCCAUGGGCAGGUUGAAGGUUGGGUAACACUAACUGGAGGACCGAACCGACUAAUGUUGAAAAAUUAGCGGAUGACUUGUGGCUGGGGGUGAAAGGCCAAUCAAACCGGGAGAUAGCUGGUUCUCCCCGAAAGCUAUUUAGGUAGCGCCUCGUGAAUUCAUCUCCGGGGGUAGAGCACUGUUUCGGCAAGGGGGUCAUCCCGACUUACCAACCCGAUGCAAACUGCGAAUACCGGAGAAUGUUAUCACGGGAGACACACGGCGGGUGCUAACGUCCGUCGUGAAGAGGGAAACAACCCAGACCGCCAGCUAAGGUCCCAAAGUCAUGGUUAAGUGGGAAACGAUGUGGGAAGGCCCAGACAGCCAGGAUGUUGGCUUAGAAGCAGCCAUCAUUUAAAGAAAGCGUAAUAGCUCACUGGUCGAGUCGGCCUGCGCGGAAGAUGUAACGGGGCUAAACCAUG